UACAGAGGGUGCGAGCGUUGUCCGGAAUUACUGGGCGUAAAGGGCGCGUAGGCGGCCCGAUAAGUAGGACGUGAAAUUCCGCGGCUCAACCGCGGAACUGCGUUCUAGACUGUCAGGCUUGAGCACGGUAGAGGCAGAUGGAAUUCCCGGUGUAGCGGUGGAAUGCGUAGAGAUCGGGAAGAACACCAGUGGCGAAGGCGGUCUGCUGGGCCGUUGCUGACGCUGAGGCGCGACAGCGUGGGGAGCAAACAGG
RNAcentral lists this ribosomal RNA (253 nucleotides) under uncultured bacterium. Its description in RNAcentral is "partial 16S ribosomal RNA". It matches the Rfam family "Bacterial small subunit ribosomal RNA", at positions 524 to 776 of the family's 1533-position model. The record is from RNAcentral.